UGGGAAUAUUGGACAAUGGGGGCAACCCUGAUCCAGCAAUGCCGCGUGUGUGAAGAAGGUUUUCGGAUUGUAAAGCACUUUCGACGGGGACGAUGAUGACGGUACCCGUAGAAGAAGCCCCGGCUAACUUCGUGCCAGCAGCCGCGGUAAUACGAAGGGGGCUAGCGUUGCUCGGAAUGACUGGGCGUAAAGGGCGUGUAGGCGGUUUGUACAGUCAGAUGUGAAAUCCCCGGGCUUAACCUGGGAGCUGCAUUUGAUACGUGCAGACUAGAGUGUGAGAGAGGGUUGUGGAAUUCCCAGUGUAGAGGUGAAAUUCGUAGAUAUUGGGAAGAACACCGGUGGCGAAGGCGGCAACCUGGCUCAUAACUGACGCUGAGGCGCGAAAGCGUGGGGAGCAAACA
RNAcentral lists this ribosomal RNA (401 nucleotides) under uncultured bacterium. RNAcentral describes it as "partial 16S ribosomal RNA". It matches the Rfam family "Bacterial small subunit ribosomal RNA", at positions 356 to 774 of the family's 1533-position model. The record is from RNAcentral.